RNAcentral lists this ribosomal RNA (457 nucleotides) under Veillonella parvula. RNAcentral describes it as "bacterial SSU rRNA". It matches the Rfam family "Bacterial small subunit ribosomal RNA", at positions 30 to 464 of the family's 1533-position model. Lineage: Bacteria; Bacillati; Bacillota; Negativicutes; Veillonellales; Veillonellaceae. The record is from RNAcentral.
CGAACGCUGGCGGCGUGCUUAACACAUGCAAGUCGAACGAAGAGCGAUGGAAGCUUGCUUCUAUCAAUCUUAGUGGCGAACGGGUGAGUAACGCGUAAUCAACCUGCCCUUCAGAGGGGGACAACAGUUGGAAACGACUGCUAAUACCGCAUACGAUCUAAUCUUGGCAUCGAGGAUAGAUGAAAGGUGGCCUCUACAUGUAAGCUAUCACUGAAGGAGGGGAUUGCGUCUGAUUAGCUAGUUGGAGGGGUAACGGCCCACCAAGGCGAUGAUCAGUAGCCGGUCUGAGAGGAUGAACGGCCACAUUGGGACUGAGACACGGCCCAGACUCCUACGGGAGGCAGCAGUGGGGAAUCUUCCGCAAUGGACGAAAGUCUGACGGAGCAACGCCGCGUGAGUGAUGACCGGCUCCGGGUUGUAAAGCUCUGUUAAUCGGGACGAAAGGCCUUCUUGCGAA